AUAGAAUACACUAAACAACACUUGCUUACAAUGAGAUUUGUUUUUAAUAAUAUGCGUUUUACAACUUUAAUAUAGGGAAGGGACGACACAAAUCUCAAAUAAAGAAUUUCCUAAUUCUAUAAUAAUCAAAGUUUAAACUUGUGUAAAAACUUGGCAUAUCAUAUCGUAUUAUAAGAAAAAAAGAAGAAGAAAGAUAUGACUACGAAGAGUGUAAUACAUGCACAAAUAAAGUUGCUUACUAUUAUUGGAGUGGUUAUUUAUUUUGUUAGUGCUGAGUUUCAUGAAAUUACUCCUCCUAAUAAAAAGUAUUGGGAUGAGCAUAAUGCAUGUAACUACUGCAAAAAAGAAAAUUUUGAUGAUCCAAAAGAGUUAUUGGGAUGCAUUCAGGUUUGCAAUAUUAUUCCUAAACAACUUGGGACUCCAUCUUAUUAUAUUGCAGGUAAGUUGAGAGAGUGUAUACAAAAUUGCAUAGUGAAAUAUUGGAGUCAAACACCACGAGAGCUCAUGAAAUGCAUUACAAACUGCUUUGAAACACUCAGCUAAGCUACUUCUUUAAUAAUAUGGGAGAGUUGAGAUUUAAUAAAUACUCCAAUAAAUGAAAGAAAUAUAUAUUUGAGCACCUUGAUCUUCUUUCUUUCUCUUUCUCUCUCUCCUUUUUUUUUUCCCCUUUUGUGCGCAAUGCAUUUGUCAAAUUAGUAA
Non-coding RNA from Arachis ipaensis, 699 nucleotides. The record is from RefSeq and is a predicted model, not a curated record. Lineage: Eukaryota; Viridiplantae; Streptophyta; Magnoliopsida; Fabales; Fabaceae.